CAGAGACUUAACCCACUGAGCCACCCAGGCGCCCCGCUGGAAUUGAUUUAAAGAGAGAGAGCCCUUCUAUCCUCCUGCGGAAGGUUCAGACCUGGCUGCUGUCAUUCUAGGAGCUGAGUAAGGACACGGCACUAAAGGUUCUCACAACUCAAUACACAGAAUUUAACUUAACCUCCCGAUUUUACCAUUUGCCUUACUUCCCUGAAAUACCCCUGAGGCUGGAGCUCUGUUUUAACUUUUCCAUCGAGAAUGCCUGUCUUCUUCUGUCGGAAUGGGAAGGAUUUAGCUGCCUGUAUGCACCACCAUAGAGCCGGCAUCUGGAGCACUAGCUGCUCCUUAUAUGGGCUUACAACUCGUCUUGUCACCUCAAAGUGACAGGCCACAGACAUCAACCAGUUUGUCUGCUACGUCCUGUCUCAGUGGAAUAGAGUGAGUUUUAUGUUAUCCUUAUUGAUGCCAGUAUUUUGCAUUAAAUCAAGGGUCAAUUAAUCUUCUCCCAAUGAGUGACAUGUCAUCAGCCUUUGUGAAAACAAGAUGCAUCAGGAAUUUCAAAUGGUGAAGUCUCAUCCUUGUUGUUAGACCUGCGUUUCCAAGAAUCUUGCUGAUCAAGACACAUGCUUACCAAAUGAGUCGUGUUCACCCAACUCUGCUAAUCCAGCACAAUUUAUUUCUAACAAAUUAAUACACAAAGUAUUUUUUCAAACAUAUAUAUCUGCAUGAUGCUUUAAUCACUUGUAUCAUUUCUAACCAGAUAUACUAUAUAUACAUUUAUACUUGGAAAAAUUUGGUGUCUUAUGUACUUAUAAAUCUUGUAAACUUCCUCAGAACAGAUUUCUCUUUUGAUCAAUUCUAUAUUUCAUCAUAAGUUUAAAAAAAAUGUGGCAGUAUAGCAGGGGAUGGUGGCCAAUAUCUCUGGUAUGAGCAGCAGAAGCUGAAAGUGGGAUCCAUUGCUACAAUAUUUUUACUUUGCAGACCAGCUGAUACUUUUCAUAAGGUGGUUCUGUCAGCUUUUAAGGCUUUUCCACUUCCUUAGGCUUGCUCUGUGGUCAGAUUGGUGGACUGCUGAAGCUGAUUAUCUGUCGCGUGAUUUAAUUUCCUUGCGUGCACCAAUCUCAGUACUACUGAAGCUUUACUAAUUAUUACUCUUUCAGAUACCAAGUUGACCAAAGGUGACUAACAAGCACUUGCUGAGUUUCUCUAUUGAUUUAAAAAUAUACAGUGAAGCUAAUGGGAAUAUUAGUACUCAAAAGUCAAAAGGGGACAUCGGAAGCACUUCAUAGAAUUUGGAGUUUGAAACUGAAAUCUAGGUUAAAGUGUGGAGAGUUUGUUUAUUUCACAGCCUUGGGUACUUGAAGAUCAAAUUCCCUUAGAUUAGCAGCUACAUCAGGUGUUCCUGUUAUGCAAUGUAGAAACUCAGGUUUAAUAUGAUCUUGCAUGAAACUUAUUUAGCCAUUAAUUGAAAGCAGACAAAUAGACUGAUUAGGUCAUGACUUGGCAACUUUGGUCAUUCUCUUUAUUUAUUUCUUUAUUUAGCUGAGUUUGCUUUCUUUAACUUCCCCUUCAGUGUGUGAUCCAUGGACUAAAAAUGCAGGGUUUUUUGUGUGUAUUUUAUUUAUCACAGACUUAAUUUUUUUUAAAUAUCU
Long non-coding RNA from Lontra canadensis (Northern American river otter), 1643 nucleotides. RefSeq lists it as uncharacterized. Lineage: Eukaryota; Metazoa; Chordata; Mammalia; Carnivora; Mustelidae. The transcript is spliced from 4 exons. The record is from RefSeq and is a predicted model, not a curated record.